GAUGAACGCUGGCGGCAUGCCUAACACAUGCAAGUCGAUCGGUAAGGCUCUUCGGAGUACACGAGAGGCGGACGGCUGAGUAACGCGUAGGAACACACCCUGCAGUGAGGGAUAAGACACCGAAAGGUGUUCUAAUACCGCAUACGGUCUUCGGAUUAAAGCAUUUAUGCGCUGAAGGAGUGGCCUGCGUCAUAUUAGAUAGUUGGUGAGGUAAUGGCUCACCAAGUCGAUGAUGUGUAGCUGGUCUGAGAGGAUGAUCAGCCAGACUGGAACUGAGACACGGUCCAGACUCCUACGGGAAGCAGCAGUGAGGAAUAUUUCACAAUGAGCGAAAGCUUGAUGGAGCAAUGCCGCGUGCAGGAUGAAGGCCAUCGGGUUGUAAACUGCUUUUAUAAGAGAAGAUUAUGACGGUAACUUAUGAAUAAGGGACGGCUAACUACGUG
This 443-nucleotide ribosomal RNA is filed under the name uncultured bacterium. RNAcentral describes it as "partial 16S ribosomal RNA". It matches the Rfam family "Bacterial small subunit ribosomal RNA", at positions 28 to 507 of the family's 1533-position model. The record is from RNAcentral.